UACGUAGGGUGCAAGCGUUAAUCGGAAUUACUGGGCGUAAAGCGUGCGCAGGCGGUUAUGUAAGACAGAUGUGAAAUGCCCGGGCUUAACCUGGGAACUGCAUUUGUGACUGCAUGGCUAGAAUCUGGCAGAGGGGGGUAGAAUUCCACGUGUAGCAGUGAAAUGCGUAGAGUAUGUGGAGGAACACCGAUGGCGAAGGCAGCCCCCUGGGU
This 212-nucleotide ribosomal RNA is filed under the name uncultured bacterium. RNAcentral describes it as "partial 16S ribosomal RNA". It matches the Rfam family "Bacterial small subunit ribosomal RNA", at positions 524 to 734 of the family's 1533-position model. The record is from RNAcentral.